GUGCUCGCCUCGGCAGCACAUAUACUAAAGUUAGAACGAUACAGAGAAGGUUAGCAUGGCCCCUGCGCGAGGAUGACAUGCAAAGUCGUGAAGCGUUCCAUACUAGA
This 107-nucleotide small nuclear RNA is filed under the name Cebus imitator (Panamanian white-faced capuchin). Lineage: Eukaryota; Metazoa; Chordata; Mammalia; Primates; Cebidae. The record is from RNAcentral.